This is a non-coding RNA of Pelodiscus sinensis (Chinese soft-shelled turtle), 535 nucleotides long. NCBI's taxonomy places the organism in Eukaryota, Metazoa, Chordata, Testudines, Trionychidae. The record is from RefSeq and is a predicted model, not a curated record.
CCUCCAUCUACUAACUGCUCCUGCACUUUGAAGGCUCCAGGGAUGACCCCAUGCAUGCUCAGUGAUCCCUGAUCCAUAAAAGAUUCCGCGCCCCUGCUUUAGAAGGUCUCUAUGCUGGUAACAUGGUGGAGGAAGAUGGGCAAGAUAGGAUCAACUAUUGCAAGGAUUCUGCAGCAAUUUGGAUUUUCCUGCACCUUGGACAUACACAAAGGAAUUCAAAACUUUCCCUUCUCGCAUUCCAUUGUGCCAAGUGCAGCAGCUGCGAGUGCAGAGCUCACCACCUCACGCAGAACAUUCUCCCGCACCCGGGUCAGCAGGCUGACCUGUAACCAGGAGGAGUACCAGCGGUAGCACCUGGGGAUCCUGUGAGGCCAGCACUGCACCCUAGACUACUGGGUGCAUGAAGACCUGCAGCUCCGGCGGGAGAGCUGGAGGGAGCUGCUUGCUCAGAGUUGUGCCAUCUGCAACUGACAGCUUCUUCUCCCCCUUACUCACCUUGCUUCCUCCUUCCAGCUCCCUUCUCCCAGGUUUACCC